RNAcentral lists this ribosomal RNA (587 nucleotides) under uncultured Bacillota bacterium. RNAcentral's name for it is "bacterial SSU rRNA". It matches the Rfam family "Bacterial small subunit ribosomal RNA", at positions 338 to 917 of the family's 1533-position model. The record is from RNAcentral. Lineage: Bacteria; Bacillati; Bacillota.
CCUACGGGAGGCAGCAGUCGGGAAUUUUGGGCAAUGGGCGAAAGCCUGACCCAGCAACGCCGCGUGAAGGAUGAAAUCCCUCGGGAUGUAAACUUCGCAAGAACGGGAAGAAUAAGUAGGGGACAAUACCCCCUAUGAUGACGGUACCGUUUGUAAGCUCCGGCUAACUCCGUGCCAGCAGCCGCGGUAAUACGGGGGGAGCAAGCGUUGUUCGGAUUUACUGGGCGUAAAGGGCGCGUAGGCGGUCAGCACAAGUCAGUUGUGAAAUCUCCGAGCUUAACUCGGAAAGGUCAACUGAUACUGUGCGACUAGAGUGCAGAAGGGGCAACUGGAAUUCUCGGUGUAGCGGUGAAAUGCGUAGAUAUCGAGAGGAACACCUGCGGCGAAGGCGGGUUGCUGGGCUGACACUGACGCUGAGGCGCGAAAGCUAGGGGAGCGAACGGGAUUAGAUACCCCGGUAGUCCUAGCCUUAAACGAUGAAUGCUUGGUGUCUGGGGUUAUAAAGUCCCCGGGUGCCGUCGCUAACGCCUUAAGCAUUCCGCCUGGGGAGUACGGUCGCAAGACUGAAACUCAAAGGAAUUGACGGA